CUAGGUCUACGCAAGCAGGCACAUGGCCUGAGACUUGCCGUGGGUGACCGUGAGCCUCCCAUGGGUCACGGAGGCUGGCUCUAGCCGCAACCCAGCCAAGGGUGUACUCAUGCCACCACCGGUUUCGCUACUACCCAUGCCAUCGCGAUUCCGCCUCUGCUCCUCCACCGAUAAUGUCUCAAAUAAGAUCGCAAAUCUGUCAAGUACGUAGGUGCGCUCGAGCGCAUCACAAGUAGGAUCGAGCACACUCUUGCUGGAAAGUUCGAAAAGAGCCCUAAUCCACCCUAGAGAAGGUUUUCAAUCUCCUACUUGGACUAUGAGACUGACCUAUGACUUUUUUGGGAUCUCUAGGGCUUCUAGGACUUGUUUGCUCCCUAUAAAUAGCUCUCAAGGCUUCAAGAAAAGGUGUGCUUAGUUUUAGAGACAAAAAUCUUUUUAGAAGCUUGACAAGUUGAAGAGGAGAUAAUCCAUGGCUGAAGGCCAUCCCAGCACCCCGAUGAGCGGCUAAUCCUGUAAUAGGGCAUUGAUGUAGCCCUUUCCAAGUAACAAUGGUUUAAUUAUAUUUUAAUUUGGGCUUUUCUAUAUGCAUGAUGGUUGUAUAACUGUGAGAAUUGAUCUUAAUGUUUAUAUUCAAUCAUAAUAAAUUUCUUAUCUU
Molecule: non-coding RNA, 655 nt
Organism: Corylus avellana
Lineage: Eukaryota; Viridiplantae; Streptophyta; Magnoliopsida; Fagales; Betulaceae
Source: RefSeq, a predicted model, not a curated record